This 260-nucleotide ribosomal RNA is filed under the name uncultured bacterium. RNAcentral describes it as "partial 16S ribosomal RNA". It matches the Rfam family "Bacterial small subunit ribosomal RNA", at positions 793 to 1055 of the family's 1533-position model. The record is from RNAcentral.
GUCCACGCCUUAAACGAUGGAUGUUCGGUGUCGGUCCGCAAGGAUCGGUGCCUGAGCCAACGCGUUAAACAUCCCACCUGGGGAGUACGAUCGCAAGGUUGAAACUCAAAGGAAUUGACGGGGCCCGCACAAGCAGUGGAGAAUGUGGUUCAAUUCGAUGCAACGCGAAGAACCUUACCUGGGUUUGAAAGGCAAGUGACAGGCGAUGAAAGUCGCUCUCGUAGCAAUACGCACUUGUACAGGUGCUGCAUGGCUGUCGU